This 72-nucleotide transfer RNA is filed under the name Desmopuntius rhomboocellatus. RNAcentral describes it as "tRNA-Val". It matches the Rfam family "tRNA". From Rfam's summary of the family: Transfer RNA (tRNA) molecules are approximately 80 nucleotides in length. Lineage: Eukaryota; Metazoa; Chordata; Actinopteri; Cypriniformes; Cyprinidae. The record is from RNAcentral.
CAGGAUGUGGCUGAACUAGAUAAGCAUCUCACUUACACCGAGAAGAUAUUCAUGCAAAUUGAAUCACCCUGA